GGAGAGUUGGCCGAGUUGGUCGAAGGCGCAUGAUUGGAAAUCAUGUAUACCCCUAAAUGGUAUCGAGGGUUCGAAUCCCUUGCUCUCCG
Molecule: transfer RNA, 89 nt
Filed under: Mageeibacillus indolicus UPII9-5
Lineage: Bacteria; Bacillati; Bacillota; Clostridia; Eubacteriales; Oscillospiraceae
Description: Clostridiales genomosp. BVAB3 str. UPII9-5 tRNA
Rfam family: tRNA
About the family: Transfer RNA (tRNA) molecules are approximately 80 nucleotides in length. Their secondary structure includes four short double-helical elements and three loops (D, anti-codon, and T loops). Further hydrogen bonds mediate the characteristic L-shaped molecular structure. tRNAs have two regions of fundamental functional importance: the anti-codon, which is responsible for specific mRNA codon recognition, and the 3' end, to which the tRNAs corresponding amino acid is attached (by aminoacyl-tRNA synthetases). tRNAs cope with the degeneracy of the genetic code in two manners: having more than one tRNA (with a specific anti-codon) for a particular amino acid; and 'wobble' base-pairing, i.e. permitting non-standard base-pairing at the 3rd anti-codon position.
Source: Rfam by way of RNAcentral